RNAcentral lists this long non-coding RNA (1168 nucleotides) under Helianthus annuus (common sunflower). Lineage: Eukaryota; Viridiplantae; Streptophyta; Magnoliopsida; Asterales; Asteraceae. The record is from RNAcentral.
CUCCUAUCGAUCCUCCAUUUUGGUUCAAGUGAUUUGAAUGAUUCAACAUCAGGUGGAUGAUUGUGAAGCUGAUUUCUAAUUAGGGUUUCUAGAUCUCAUCACAAAUCCCGCCCCCGUCUGCUUUCUCUCUCUUUUUCCGAUUCACGAAGAUGAAGGCGAUGGCUAUUCAAGCCGAUUGGAUCAUGUGGUACCGACGCUGAUAUGCAUUGUUAUCAUUCAAUCGUAUUUCGUUCAAUGACAUCAGAAGCACCAAUCAAUCGAAUUUCAUUCAAUCGGGACUUUUGGCCGAAGGGCUCUUUGCAAGUCCUACAAUGAUUCUUGGUUGCUAGAGUGGAUUGCGAUAGAUUGAUGUUCUGUAAGCUUAAUAGAGAAGUUGAAAGACAAUUAUAUCAGUUUAAGGCUUGCUCUUGGCGUUACAAACCAACCCGUUGAGACGUUUUGUGACGGAGAUGCAGCUGCAAAUGCAAACUCGAGGUCAACUGUAAAACAUUUGUAGAGCAUCUCCAAAGAGCAUAAGUGAAAGCAUAACUGUAGUCAUACGAGGGGAAAAGUCACACCUAUGAGUUUGUUCAGUUUGUUAGUGAGUUGGUUCUGGUGACUGCCCUCGAAGCCACCAUAUCAUAGUCCAUGGUGUCAUAGAGAUCUUUCCCCUGGAGAACAAUCCCUUCGCCUCCAGGAAGAAAAAAUCUUGAAUAAUAUUUGCCCAAGUUUUUUCUUCAGGCGUGGUGUUCUACAGCUGAUUACGUAAAAUAACUAGAAUCCAUUUCUCUUCAGGAGUUAGCUUUUACUUUUAGUGUGUGUAUGGUUACGAGUGAUAAUAUCAACACAGAUCGAGCCAUUACAAAGGAAUGUGGCAUUCUCACUUCCACUUUGGUAGAACAUAUUAUAUUAGCACCAAGAAUUCAGUUACACACACAUUCAUUCAAGUAAUGGAGACUGGAUUAUCGUGCGAUUAACAUGUUAAAUGGGUCAAAUGGGUCGAUAUCAGCCAAGAGUCAUCAUUUUACAGUUUCCAUAAUAUGUUUUUUUUGUUAAAAUAAGCAACACAAUCAUAUGACACUGUUAGUGGGUCAACAUGACUUAACCAAACAGUUUACAACUCUACUUGAUAGAAGCCCAUUUCAUAUUGAAUCUAUUUUGACGAAUAAAGUGUUGCCUGGGCCCGCUC